UAUAUAUAGUAAAGAAUCGAGACUGGCAGUUGACUUUGCUGAAGAAAAGUCUCUUCCAAUGGCAUUGCUGGAUUGUCAAUUUCUCCUCAACAAGUGCUCUUUCAAAUACAUUACCCCAAGUUUGAGAAAAAAAGAUCGAGUUCGAUAAUCAUUUUUAGAAACCUGUGUACAAGGAGGAGAAAAAAGAAGUAGAAGCAGCAAAGGAGCAAAUAUACUUUUAUUUGAAGUUUGUCAAUACCAAUUACUAAUUAUAACUUAAAUUGUAAAAUCAAAACUGAUUACAAUUUCUCAACUCAUUUUAUAACUAUAGUAUGAAUGACGAGUUAAGUAGGUAGCCGAGACCUUUUAAUUUGUCUCUGUAGUUUUCUUGAGUUAAAAGGGUGCAUUUUAUUAAA
Long non-coding RNA from Solanum pennellii, 395 nucleotides. RefSeq lists it as uncharacterized. NCBI's taxonomy places the organism in Eukaryota, Viridiplantae, Streptophyta, Magnoliopsida, Solanales, Solanaceae. The record is from RefSeq and is a predicted model, not a curated record. The transcript has 2 exons.